Molecule: ribosomal RNA, 468 nt
Filed under: uncultured bacterium
Lineage: Bacteria
Description: partial 16S ribosomal RNA
Rfam family: Bacterial small subunit ribosomal RNA
Source: RNAcentral
GACGAACGCUGGCGGCGUGCUUAACACAUGCAAGUCGAACGGAAAGGCCCUGCUUUUGUGGAGUGCUCGAGUGGCGAACGGGUGAGUAACACGUGAGUAACCUGCCCUUGACUUUGGGAUAACUUCAGGAAACUGGGGCUAAUACCGGAUAGGAGCUCCUGCUGCAUGGUGGGGGUUGGAAAGUUUCGGCGGUUGGGGAUGGACUCGCGGCUUAUCAGAUUGUUGGUGGGGUAGUGGCUUACCAAGGCUUUGACGGGUAGCCGGCCUGAGAGGGUGACCGGCCACAUUGGGACUGAGAUACGGCCCAGACUCCUACGGGAGGCAGCAGUGGGGAAUAUUGCACAAUGGGCGGAAGCCUGAUGCAGCAACGCCGCGUGCGGGAUGACGGCCUUCGGGUUGUAAACCGCUUUCGCCUGUGACGAAGCGUGAGUGACGGUAAUGGGUAAAGAAGCACCGGCUAACUACGUG